CAGUCGCCGCGGGAAUACAGAGGGUGCGAGCGUUAAUCGGAUUUACUGGGCGUAAAGCGUGCGUAGGCGGCUAAUUGAGUCGGAUGUGAAAUCCCCGAGCUUAACUUGGGAAUUGCAUUCGAUACUGGUUAGCUAGAGUGUGGGAGAGGAUGGUAGAAUUCCAGGUGUAGCGGUGAAAUGCGUAGAGAUCUGGAGGAAUACCGAUGGCGAAGGCAGCCAUCUGGCCUAACACUGACGCUGAGGUACGAAAGCAUGGGGAGCAAACAGGAUUAGAUACCCCCGUAGUCCCUGUCUAUUAUAA
This 301-nucleotide ribosomal RNA is filed under the name uncultured bacterium. Its description in RNAcentral is "partial 16S ribosomal RNA". It matches the Rfam family "Bacterial small subunit ribosomal RNA", at positions 509 to 809 of the family's 1533-position model. The record is from RNAcentral.